RNAcentral lists this long non-coding RNA (1070 nucleotides) under Homo sapiens (human). Its description in RNAcentral is "non-protein coding lnc-STAP1-9:1". The record is from RNAcentral. Lineage: Eukaryota; Metazoa; Chordata; Mammalia; Primates; Hominidae.
GUUCAUGGUGUAUUAGUUCAUUCUCACAUUGCUAUAAAGAAACACCUGAGACUGGGUAAUUUAUAAAGAAAAGAAAUUUAAUUGACUCACAGUUCCACAGGCUGUACAAGAAGCAUCACUGGGGAGGCCUCAGGAAACUUACAAUCAUGGCAGAAAGAGAAGGGGAAGCAGGCACAUCCUGCAUAGCUGGAGUAGGAGGAAGAGCAAGAAGUGGGAGGUGAUACACACUUUUCAAAAAGCAGAUCUCGUGAGAACUCACUCACUAUCAUGAGAACAGCAAGGGGGAUGUCUGCCCCCAUGAUCCAAUAACCUCCAACCAGGCUCCUCCUCGAAAAUUGGGGAUUACAAUUUGACAAGAGAUUUGGGUGGGGGCACAAAUCCAAACGGUAUCACAUGGGUUGGAGGAAAGAUAACAUUUAUAUAAAGUAUUAAUUUUGCAUGGUAAACAUGGUGGAUAACUAUUAAAUAUUAGCUGUUGUUACCAUUAUUAUUGAGUUCACGCUCUACUUUAGUAAUCUCCGCAUUACCCUACAGUACUGAAAAUUCUACUCAUAAUUUUUAUAUCAUUAUUUAUUUAAUUUGUAUGAAAUAAUUAUUUUAAAAUUGUAUUUUCAAUCUGGAGCCUGUAUAUGUGGUUAAAAACUUGAAUUUCAAAGCAUAGGCUAAAAACCUUAGAAAAUAAGGUAAGGGAAAUUAAGAAUAAUAUGAAAAUCUUGAGAAUUCUAUGUGACAUUGUGUUGCCUCUGGGAUGCCAAGCCAUGACAGUGCAAAAAUGAAUCCUGCCCAUCCACAACCAAUGAUUGCAUAGAAAGUUACAGUAGCAGCAGUUAUCUUAAAAUCCCAGUAUGUACUGAGGUACUCUUUUAAAAGUUAGGACAUACCAUUAUUGUGCAGAUAACAAUUAGCCACAAUCACCUAUAUAUUCAUGUAUGUUAUUCAGGAAAUCCUGAGAGAUGAUUGCAUAAAAUUAUCAUUUAAACUUCAGAGGUAAAUUACUGGACUAUUCCGUUGUCUAAGAGCACUCAACUCUUGGCAGAACAAUUUAGUUAAAAGUACAAUUAAGCAAACAA